Molecule: non-coding RNA, 75 nt
Organism: Parelaphostrongylus tenuis
Lineage: Eukaryota; Metazoa; Nematoda; Chromadorea; Rhabditida; Metastrongylidae
Source: the annotation of a GenBank genome assembly
GCGUUAGUAGUGCAACGGGUUAGAGCACGCGCUCCCGGAUACAGAUAGAUGUGGGUUCGAGUUCCGCCUGAAGCA